Non-coding RNA from Punica granatum (pomegranate), 480 nucleotides. The record is from RefSeq and is a predicted model, not a curated record. Lineage: Eukaryota; Viridiplantae; Streptophyta; Magnoliopsida; Myrtales; Lythraceae.
CCUGAUUAGACUUUGCGCCGAAAUCCCACCAAAUUGUGUGAGAAAUCAAGGAAAUCAGUGUCACUUGAGAGUUCUGCCUCUCUUCCUCUGUGUUUGAGAAAUGCCUCUCGUCCCCCCUGGGGGGCUGGAAGGCUCGGGCAGAUGAGCUAAGGCCAUGGUCGGGGAAGCCACCGGAGUAGCAGCCACAAGCGAGAGAGCUUUAUUGUUGCAAGUGGUGAUGAUUCGACGAUGGAGCGAGUUGGUGGCAGAGCUGGGCAGGGAGGCAAACAGCUCGACCGACGUCGCUGGGAGGGAAGGGAGGGGAGUCGGGCUUGGAUUGAACCAACGACAAAGCCAAGGAAGGGUGAGCGGUUGAGAGACGGUGCCAAGUGUCGACGAGAUUGAAUCUUUCUUUCAAUUCAGGGAUUUGACGAUAUUGGAUUUUUCUUUCGAUUUAGUUCUUGUGUAUUUGGGAGUUUAUGAACAGAAAAUGGUUUUUCA